UGGUCAAGUUAUUAAGGGUGCAGGGCGGAUGCCUUGGCACUAGGAGCCGAUGAAGGACGUGAUAAGCUGCGAUAAGCUUCGGGGAGUUGCACGUAAACUUUGAUCCGAAGAUUUCCGAAUGAGGAAACUCACUUAGAGUAAUGUCUAAGUAUCAUUAAGUGAAUACAUAGCUUAAUGAGGGGAACUCAGGGAACUGAAACAUCUAAGUACCUGAAGGAAGAGAAAGAAAUUCGAUUCCGUAAGUAGCGGCGAGCGAACGCGGAUUAGCCCAAACCAAUAAAGUUUUCUUUAUUGGGGUUGAGGACAUACCACAUAUAAGAGGUCAUUAUAGACGAAGAAGUUUGGAAAAACUCAUCAUAGAAGGUAAUAAUCCUGUAGUCAAAAUAAUAAUUCUUUAGGUAUGAUCCAGAGUACCACGGGACACGUGAAACCCUGUGGGAAGCAGGAGGGACCACCCUCCAAGGCUAAAUACUACCUAGUGACCGAUAGCGUAUAGUACCGUGAGGGAAAGGUGAAAAGAACCCCGGGAGGGGAGUGAAAUAGAACCUGAAACCCUGCACUUACAAGCUGUGGAAGCACAUUUCUUGUGUGACCGCGUACUUUUUGUAGAACGGGCCAACGAGUUACGUUAAGUAGCAAGGUUAAGCACUUAAGGUGCGGAGCCGUAGCGAAAGCGAGUUUUAACUGAGCGUUCAGUUACUUGACGUAGACCCGAAACCGGGCGACCUACCCAUGAGCAGGAUGAAGCGAAAGUAAAAUUUCGUGGAGGUCCGAACCCACGAGCGUUGAAAAGCUCGGGGAUGACUUGUGGGUAGCGGUGAAAUUCCAAUCGAGCCCGGAGAUAGCUGGUUCUCCCCGAAAUAGCUUUAGGGCUAGCCUCAAGGUGAGAGAUACGGAGGUAGAGCACUGAAUGUCCUAGGGGGUAUUGCACCUACCGAAGACUAUCAAACUCCGAAUGCCGUCAUCUUAUACUUGGGAGUCAGACUGUGGGUGAUAAGAUUCAUAGUCGAAAGGGCAACAGCCCAGAUCGUCAGCUAAGGUCCCUAAAUGUAAGUUAAGUGGUAAAGGAUGUGGGAUUGCACAGACAACCAGGAUGUUGGCUUAGAAGCAGCCACUCAUUCAAAGAGUGCGUAAUAGCUCACUGGUCGAGUGAUCCUGCGCCGAAGAUUUCCGGGGCUAAAACUUACUACCGAAGCUACGGCAUCAGUAAUGAUGGGUAGGGGAGCUUCCCAUACGGGUUGAAGCAUGACCGUAAGGACAUGUGGACAGUAUGGGAGUGAGAAUGUUGGCAUGAGUAGCGAGAUGUGGGUGAGAAUCCCACAGGCCGUAAACCCAAGGUUUCCAGGGGAAGGUUCGUCCGCCCUGGGUUAGUCGGGACCUAAGCUGAGGCCGAAAGGCGUAGGUGAUGGACAACAGGUUGAUAUUCCUGUACUACCGAUAACCGUUUGAGAGAAGGGAUGACACAGUAGGAUAAGCUAAGCACACUGUUGGUUAUGUGUGCCCAAGCAUUGAGGCAGUCAAAGUAGGCAAAUCCGCUUUGAUAAUGCUGGGAUGUGAUGGGGAGCGAAAUUUAGUAGCGAAGUAGCUGAUUUCACACUGUCAAGAAAAGUCUCUAUCGAGGUUAAAGGUACCCGUACCGCAAACCGACACAGGUGGGUGAGGAGAGUAUCCUAAGGCCAGCGAGAGAACUGUUGUUAAGGAACUCGGCAAAAUGACCCCGUAACUUAGGGAUAAGGGGUGCCACCAUCAGGUGGCCGCAGAGAAUAGGCCCAAGCGACUGUUUACCAAAAACAUAGGUUUCUGCUAAGUCGCAAGACGAUGUAUAGGAGCUGACGCCUGCCCGGUGCUGGAAGGUUAAGGGGAUCUGUUAGAGCAAUCGAAGCAGUGAACUUAAGCCCCAGUAAACGGCGGCCGUAACUAUAACGGUCCUAAGGUAGCGAAAUUCCUUGUCGGGUAAGUUCCGACCCGCACGAAAGGCGUAACGAUUUGGGCACUGUCUCAACAACAGACUCGGUGAAAUUGUAAUUCCGGUGAAGAUGCCGGAUACCUGCGACAGGACGGAAAGACCCCAUGGAGCUUUACUGUAGCUUGACAUUGGGUCUUGGUACUACAUGUACAGGAUAGGUGGGAGGCUUUGAAACCAGGACGCCAGUUUUGGCGGAGCCAUCCUUGGGAUACCACCCUUGUAGUACUGGGACUCUAACCAUAGGCCAUGAAUCUGGUCUUGGGACACUGUCAGGUGGGCAGUUUGACUGGGGCGGUCGCCUCCCAAAAGGUAACGGAGGCGCUCAAAGGUUCUCUCAGUACGGUCGGAAAUCGUACGUAGAGUGUAAAGGCAAAAGAGAGCUUGAUUGCAAGACAUACAGGUCGAGCAAGGAUGAAAAUCGGACUUAGUGAUCCGGUGGUUCUGCGUGGAAGGGCCAUCGCUCAACGGAUAAAAGCUACCCUGGGGAUAACAGGCUUAUCUCCCCCAAGAGUCCACAUCGACGGGGAGGUUUGGCACCUCGAUGUCGGCUCAUCACAUCCUGGGGCUGUAGUAGGUCCCAAGGGUUGGGCUGUUCGCCCAUUAAAGUGGUACGCGAGCUGGGUUCAGAACGUCGUGAGACAGUUCGGUCCCUAUCCGUCGCAGGCGUAGGAAAUUUGAGAAGACCUGUCCUUAGUACGAGAGGACCGGGAUGGACGUACCUCUGGUGUACCAGUUGUCCUGCCAAGGGCAUGGCUGGGUAGCUAUGUACGGAAUGGAUAAGCGCUGAAAGCAUCUAAGCGCGAAGCCAACUUCAAGAUAAGAUUUCCCACCGCAAGGGUAAGACCCCAGAAAGACUAUCUGGUUGAUAGGUCGAAGGUGUAAGUGCAGCAAUGUAUUUAGCUUAUCGAUACUAAUAGGUCGAGGACUUGACCAA
RNAcentral lists this ribosomal RNA (2900 nucleotides) under Clostridioides difficile. Its description in RNAcentral is "23S ribosomal RNA". It matches the Rfam family "Bacterial large subunit ribosomal RNA". The record is from RNAcentral. RNAcentral also lists the same sequence under 1 other name. Lineage: Bacteria; Bacillati; Bacillota; Clostridia; Peptostreptococcales; Peptostreptococcaceae.